RNAcentral lists this ribosomal RNA (135 nucleotides) under uncultured Beijerinckia sp. Its description in RNAcentral is "partial 16S ribosomal RNA". It matches the Rfam family "Bacterial small subunit ribosomal RNA", at positions 355 to 507 of the family's 1533-position model. The record is from RNAcentral. Lineage: Bacteria; Pseudomonadati; Pseudomonadota; Alphaproteobacteria; Hyphomicrobiales; Beijerinckiaceae.
UGGGGAAUAUUGGACAAUGGGCGAAAGCCUGAUCCAGCCAUGCCGCGUGAGUGAUGAAGGCCUUAGGGUUGUAAAGCUCUUUUACCUGGGAAGAUAAUGACUGUACCAGGAGAAUAAGCCCCGGCUAACUUCGUG